UCCUUUUACAAAUAAAUACUGAGUUUCAGACGUCAAGCCAUGCAACUCAGCGGAGGAAAGUGACUAAUAGCGGGGGCCAUCUGGCCAGCCACACUUCCACUGGGAACACUGGGAUAUGGGUUAGAGGCAGACAUGCAAAAGACAGACGUGAGAAGAAGGAGAGCUCUCGGCCUGCAUGGUUGUCAUCUGCAUGUGUGCCCUCUUGGUGUAUCAGCUGUCCAAGGUUCCAGGCUCGCCUGCCUGCUGGCAAUGAAGAUGCCUAGACUCGAAUUCCUGGUUCAGAUUCCUUCAUCUGAUGACAACUAAUAAAGGGUGUGGCAGCAAAGGUAAG
Long non-coding RNA from Pongo pygmaeus (Bornean orangutan), 331 nucleotides. RefSeq lists it as uncharacterized. NCBI's taxonomy places the organism in Eukaryota, Metazoa, Chordata, Mammalia, Primates, Hominidae. The record is from RefSeq and is a predicted model, not a curated record. The transcript is spliced from 3 exons.